Molecule: long non-coding RNA, 256 nt
Filed under: Elaeis guineensis (African oil palm)
Lineage: Eukaryota; Viridiplantae; Streptophyta; Magnoliopsida; Arecales; Arecaceae
Description: long non-coding RNA (EGUI_LNC075611)
Source: RNAcentral
CCAAUGUAUAAUAUUCUUCUUUAUUAUUUAUGAAGUUGUCAUCAUCAUCCUCUGACAUGAUCAAAUUAUUUCACUAACAUCAACAUUAUCAGGUUGCACGUCAUCCCUAAUCAGAGAAGAUAUGCUUUCAAUGUCGGCACUAUACUAUCCCAAGUCAUCUAUAUUCUAUUCUUCCUGAAAGAAAUUUUUAUCUGUUUCUAUCUCAAAAUGAACAUGUAUGUCAUAAACACCCCUUGAUGCAAUCCUUUGAACAACA